CAGAUUCUGCUCUGUUUUCUCUUUCUAGGGACAAAUGCCUUUGGAAUCCUGAUCUGACAUGAAAAAAGUUCACCUGAAGCUGCCAUCCUGGAAGACUAUGAGAUGGAGAUGCCCAAGAAGCCCCAGCCUUAGAAGAAAAACACAGCGACUUUGCCUUUGGUGAGAAUGCACUGGACAAUCUAAGCAGAGUCUGUUUUUCACUGGGCAGAUCUCCAGGUAUGAGUCUACCUCAACAACAUGGUGUUUGUCUCAUGAUGGAUGCUGCUCAGCCCUGAGACAGCAACUCAACUCAAAGGAAUUGCCCUGAGAUUUUGAGACUCUGUGGGAGGGCACAUGAUGGAACCUGUUGCUGAUCAGACACCUAAAAACCAAAACACACAAAAAAUCAUGUAGAAUGUACCUUAAA
Macaca mulatta (Rhesus monkey) is the source of this 406-nucleotide non-coding RNA. The record is from RefSeq and is a predicted model, not a curated record. NCBI's taxonomy places the organism in Eukaryota, Metazoa, Chordata, Mammalia, Primates, Cercopithecidae.